This 507-nucleotide ribosomal RNA is filed under the name uncultured Glomeraceae. RNAcentral's name for it is "SSU rRNA". It matches the Rfam family "Eukaryotic small subunit ribosomal RNA", at positions 569 to 1078 of the family's 1831-position model. The record is from RNAcentral. Lineage: Eukaryota; Fungi; Glomeromycota; Glomeromycetes; Glomerales; Glomeraceae.
AGCAGCCGCGGUAAUUCCAGCUCCAAUAGCGUAUAUUAAAGUUGUUGCAGUUAAAAAGCUCGUAGUUGAAUUUCGGGAUCAAUGCGUCGGUCGUGCCUUCGGUACGUACUAGCGUCAUUGAUUCCUCCCUUCUGAAGAUUCGUGAUGUCAUUAAUUUGGUGUUACGGGAAUCAGGACUGUUACCUUGAAAAAUUUAGAGUAGUUUAAAGCAGGCUAAACGCUUGAAUACAUUAGCAUGGAAUAAUGAAAUAGGACGUUCGAACCUAUUUGUUGGUUCUAGGAUCGACGUAAUGAUUAAUAGGGAUAGUUGGGGGCAUUAGUAUUCAAUUGUCAGAGGUGAAAUUCUUGGAAUUUAUUGAAGACUAACUACUGCGAAAGCAUUUGCCAAGGAUGUUUUCAUUAAUCAAGAACGAAAGUUAGGGGAUCGAAGACGAUCAGAUACCGUCGUAGUCUUAACCAUAAACUAUGCCGACUAGGGAUCGGAUGAUGUUAAUUUAUAAUGACUCA